Poecilia latipinna (sailfin molly) is the source of this 669-nucleotide long non-coding RNA. RefSeq lists it as uncharacterized. The transcript is spliced from 2 exons. NCBI's taxonomy places the organism in Eukaryota, Metazoa, Chordata, Actinopteri, Cyprinodontiformes, Poeciliidae. The record is from RefSeq and is a predicted model, not a curated record.
GUAUAUGCCAUGGACUUCCGUUUUAGCACUUCCGCAUUUUUUAGCCACAUAGAAUGCUUCCGGUGCGCAGGCAGCAGUAUGUUAACAGUGGCUCCUCAGUCGUUGCAGGACUAUUAAUGAUGCCUAUAAAAUUAUUCAGACGUCCUGAAACGCUCCAACAACAACAAAGGAUUUAAGCUGGAUGUGUCAAAACUUCACAAUAACUUCAAAGUUGGAGUUGGACAGAAGUUCUGUUUCAUGGCUUCCUGGAGGGAGAGAUCGGCUCAGCUAAUGUUACCAACAACUUUUCUCCUAUUAACAUUUUUGUUUUUCUUUAUAUAGAAAGUAUUUCUAUCAGUUGCUUUUUCCAUUUUGUUUACAGUAUUUGCUCUAUUUUUUAUUUUUACCUUAAUGCUUACCUGGUCAGUUGAGGUGGAAAUGUACAUCCUGUUGAUUACUGACAAAUGUCAGAACCACAUGGACUGAGCUGGUUAGUCAGAUCAAUCUGAAUCUUUAUUUCUCAUUAAAACGACUUCUUGUAAUUUUAAGACAUUGUUAUAAAAUUGCAUCUUUAUUCUGCUGUAACGAUGACUGCAUUCUUGCAAUUAAAAUUUCUUGUAUCCUGACCGUAAUGCUCCCUUAUACAACUCACAGAACAGAUGAUUGAAAUAAAGGCACUUUUUGAAAGUA